RNAcentral lists this ribosomal RNA (448 nucleotides) under uncultured bacterium. RNAcentral's name for it is "SSU rRNA". It matches the Rfam family "Bacterial small subunit ribosomal RNA", at positions 26 to 518 of the family's 1533-position model. The record is from RNAcentral.
AGAGCGAACGCUGGCGGCAGGCCUAACACAUGCAAGUCGAGCGCCCGUAGCAAUACGGGAGCGGCAGACGGGAUAGUAACACGUGGGAACGCGCCCUUCGGUUCGGAAUAACUCAGGGAAACUUGAGCUAAUACCGGAUACGCCCUUACGGGGAAAGAUUUAUUGCCGAAGGAACGGCCCGCGUCCGAUUAGCUAGUUGGUGAGGUAAUGGCUCACCAAGGCGACGAUCGGUAGCUGGUCUGAGAGGAUGACCAGCAUCACUGGGACUGAGACACGGCCCAGACUCCUACGGAAGGCAGCAGUGGGGAAUAUUGGACAAUGGGCGCAAGCCUGAUCCAGCCAUGCCGCGUGGAUGAUGAAGGCCUUAGGGUUGUAAAGUCCUUUUAACGGGGAAGAUAAUGACGGUACCCGUAGAAUAAGCCCCGGCUAACUUCGCGCCAGCAGCCGC